RNAcentral lists this ribosomal RNA (433 nucleotides) under uncultured bacterium. RNAcentral's name for it is "partial 16S ribosomal RNA". It matches the Rfam family "Bacterial small subunit ribosomal RNA", at positions 29 to 507 of the family's 1533-position model. The record is from RNAcentral.
AACGAACGCUGGCGGCAUGCCUAACACAUGCAAGUCGAACGAAACCUUCGGGUCUAGUGGCGCACGGGUGCGUAACACGUGGGAAUCUGCCCUUUGCUUCGGAAUAACAGUUAGAAAUGACUGCUAAUACCGGAUGAUGUCGAAAGACCAAAGAUUUAUCGGCAAAGGAUGAGCCCGCGUAGGAUUAGGUAGUUGGUGGGGUAAAGGCCUACCAAGCCGACGAUCCUUAGCUGGUCUGAGAGGAUGAUCAGCCACACUGGGACUGAGACACGGCCCAGACUCCUACGGGAGGCAGCAGUGGGGAAUAUUGGACAAUGGGCGAAAGCCUGAUCCAGCAAUGCCGCGUGAGUGAUGAAGGCCUUAGGGUUGUAAAGCUCUUUUACCAGGGAUGAUAAUGACAGUACCUGGAGAAUAAGCUCCGGCUAACUCCGUG